This is a long non-coding RNA of Oreochromis aureus, 2779 nucleotides long. The record is from Ensembl. NCBI's taxonomy places the organism in Eukaryota, Metazoa, Chordata, Actinopteri, Cichliformes, Cichlidae.
UGAAACUACAGGGUUAUUUGCUGAGCAGAGAACUGGUCAUGGGUUUUCUGUGCCAGUUCACAGUCAGAGGAAAACAUGGGGGAGAUCUCACAAUGUCAGAUGUGAGCUGGAGGAAUGUCAGCAAUACCAGUUGCUGGCUCAGCAGAGCGGACUAGGCUUCAGUUUAUGUGAGCACAUUCGCUCACUAGAUUACUGCAGAGAAACUGUAAAAGAGGUAUUUCUUCAAGAGCAUAUCGUGAUGGAAAUGGUGGACCUAAAAUUCUUUGGAGAGGCCAAAGCUGCGGCAUGUAUAAGGAGACAGAAAGCUGCCCAAAUGGUACGUGCUCCACUUUGAGUGAGGGUGGAUUUUGGUGGAUCCUCAACACAGAUAUGUUUCUCUGUACAUGAGCCAGAAAUACACAGUUUCUGCCAUCUAGGCAGAAUAUUUGUGACUUACAAUGCUCUGAGGAAUACCUGGCAUUGUGCUUGUGCAAAGCCACGAAUAUCACGCCCUCAUAAAAACAUUGGUAAAUGGCAUCUCUUUAAAACACAGAGAGACAUCUUCUAAUCAACUGUGCCACUAUUAUCAGGCACCCCAUCACAGAUGACUCAGGAGGGUUCUUCUUUUAAAGACAAUGCUGCUGUCGAAGGGAGUAUCCACUUUAUUUUUAAAGAGGAAAAAAUUCCUGAAUCUCUUCCAGAAAAUGUCAUCUCACAGUUUCUGAUCAUCAGAAACAACUCUUUCCAUUUGAAACUUUGUGCCAGGUGUGCCCAGAGCACCCUAAACUUGACGAGGCUGUUCUAAUUACCAAUAAAGCGAGGAUUGUCCGCAUGAUCGGAGUGAUUGAGAGUAAGUUGUAAUGAAUCAGAUUAAAUCUCAGUGUGGAAUAAUUAUUUAUAAUUGUUCCUAUAUUAAUGUGAUUUGUCUUUAACAGAUAAGAUAAGAUAAGAUGGCCUUUAUUAGUCCCACAGGUGGGAAAUUUGUUUUGUUACAGCAAAAGUGCAAAGUUAUGUAGCAGAAAUUAGAAAACACUGGAAUGCAAUAAAAUACAAUAAAAUAAAAUAAAAUACUAUAUACAAUAGAAUAAAAUAGAAUAGAAUAAUAUAUACAAUAGAAUAAAAUAGAAAUACAAAUACUAUAUACAACUGAGUAGGAAAAUACAAAAACACAACUUCGUCAGAAGAAGAAUUGCACGUAUAGCAGUCUUAUUGCACAUGUGUGGGUUUGUGUGUUUGAUCAGCUGCAAAAGUCUUUAUUGUAGAGUCUGACAGCAGUGGGGAGGAAAGACCUGCGAAAUCUCUCCGUCCCGCACCGUGGGUGCCGCAGUCUCCCACUGAAGGAGCUGCUCAGUGCUGUCACAGUCUCAUGCAUGGGGUGGGAGAUGUUGUCCAACAGGGAUGACAGCUUAGCCACCAUUCUCCUGUCACUCACCACCUCCACUGGGUCCAGAGGGCAUCCUAGAACAGAGCUGGCCCUCUGGAUCAGCCUGUUCAGAUGUUUCAACUUACCAUAGAUUGUGUCCUUAGUGCCACAUGUUGUACAGAUACCAGGAGUGGACAGAUGGGCUUCAUAACUUUGACAACCACAUUGUUUUGUCUCUUGAACUCUGCCUUUUUCUGAGAGAAAAUCUGCAGAACCAUGUAUCCGCUUCAAGGGUAUUUGACUCAUUGGAGGGCUUAAGAAGAGUGAAGUUUCCUUCUAGGGAUACCAUAUUUCAUGCCUAUUGCCAUUUUGAUGCUUUGACUGACACAGAGUACAUGUAGUCCUGCAUAAACUGUGGGUUUCACCCCCCUGUGGUAGUUAUGGACUUACACAGAAAAGGGGUGUUCAACUUAGCAGUGACCUCAAAGCCCCUCCAGAAGACUUCAAUGGUGAACAUGACAUUGAAGGUUUUUUGAACUCUAUUCACCUGGAGAUGAUAAGCUGUGGGUUUUUUCCAAGCGGCGUGGAGAAUCCAUUUUCAGUUCUACCAAGUUACACACACUGGGCACCAUGGAUCGGGAGUGAAACUCGAACAAGUGACAUUGUGCUUAACACAGAGUUUAAAAACGUAAGAACAAGCUCUUCACAUGAAGCACAGCUUAGCAGUGUCACAGAAGACCGUCUCUUUGAUGAACUCACUAAACAAAAGCAUGUCUUUAUCCUGUUUUCCUUCUCUCACCCCAACCGGUCGCAGCAGAUGGCCCCGCCCCUCCCUGAGCCUGGUUCUGCCGGAGGUUUCUUCCUGUUAAAAGGGAGUUUUUCCUUCCCACUGUUGCCAAAGUGCUUGCUCAUAGGGGGUCAUAUGAUUGUUGGGUUUUUCUCUGUAUCUAUCAUUAUAGGAUAUACUGUACAAUAUGAAGCGCCUUGAGGCAACUUUUGUUUUGAUUUGGCGCUAUAGAAAUAAAAUUGAAUUGAACUGAAAUUGAAUUGAAUUGUUUUAAAUUUUUCUGGUCACCUUACAUAGCAAUACCAACAAUAACCAUUAGAUGGGAGCAAAGCAAAUGUUUAUGUCGUAUAAAUGUGUACUUUAUCCAAACAAUCACAUCACAAGAAGGUGUUACGGCUGGUCUAGGGGACCCGACUGCAACAAAAGGAAUGAUCCACCCCCUGCUCAACCCCAAGCAGCACAUCACACCAUAAGUUAAAAUAUGAAAUGGUUUAUUUACAGACACAAAACAAAAAUGGGUUUCACAGGACUCACUCAGGCUUCGGGGUGGACCCACGCCAAAAUAACAAACAAAAGGAAACUAACUCAAGGGAGCAACUGCUUACCUAGCCCCAAAGAAACAUAACUAAACAACAAUCACUUACCUCCCU